UACGUAGGGCGCAAGCGUUAUCCGGAAUUAUUGGGCGUAAAGAGCUCGUAGGCGGUCUGUCGAGUCUGCUGUGAAAACUCAGGGCUUAACCCUGAGCUUGCAGUGGGUACGGGCAGACUAGAGUGCGGUAGGGGAGACUGGAAUUCCUGGUGUAGCGGUGAAAUGCGCAGAUAUCAGGAGGAACACCGGUGGCGAAGGCGGGUCUCUGGGCCGUAACUGACGCUGAGGAGCGAAAGCAUGGGGAGCGAACAGG
This 253-nucleotide ribosomal RNA is filed under the name uncultured bacterium. RNAcentral's name for it is "partial 16S ribosomal RNA". It matches the Rfam family "Bacterial small subunit ribosomal RNA", at positions 524 to 776 of the family's 1533-position model. The record is from RNAcentral.